This is a non-coding RNA of Macaca mulatta (Rhesus monkey), 1848 nucleotides long. Lineage: Eukaryota; Metazoa; Chordata; Mammalia; Primates; Cercopithecidae. The record is from RefSeq and is a predicted model, not a curated record.
UUUUUUUUUUGAGACUGAGUCUCACUCUUGUCACCCAGGCUGGAGUGCCAUGGUGCGAUUGUGGCUCAUUGCAACUUCUGCCUCCCAAGUUCAAGUUAUUCCCCUGCCUCAGCCUCCCAAGUAGCUGGGACUACAGGUGCUCGCCACCAUGCCUGGCUAAUUUUUCUAUUUUUAGUAGAGACAGGGUUUCACCAUGUUUACCAGGCUGGCCUUGAACUCCAGACCUCAGGUGAUCCACUCGCCUUGGCCUCCCAAAGUGCUGGAAUUACAGGUGUGAGCCACUGCACCCAGCCAAUAAAGCUGAUUGUUAAAAGUAGUACGGAACGUUUGUUGCAAAGUUAAAUCUCAAGAGGCCGUGAAAAAUAUAAUUUUCUACAUAACCUUUGCUGAUAUAGUUCUACUCUGUGCUUCUUGGUAAGUGAAAAACCAAAUCUCUAAAAUCUGGGCCUUUGAAACCCUGUGCACAUAGGCCAGAAAGCCCCCUACUCAGUGUUGACCAGCCAAGUGGGUGAGAAGUCGCAAUUGCAGGAUGCUAAAGAUGACAGCAAAGCUGGUGCUAUGUGAUGAACUCAAGGGAGAGAGCUGUAAAUCAGGUGAGUGAAACGAUUAUUCAAAGGACAUAGCAUAAUUAAUGGAAACAGCAAAAUUACAUUUACAGUGUAAAAUGUAAACAUACACCUGGAAACUGACAGCUUGUAGAAAACGCAACUGUUUUUGUUGUAGACGUCUCUCUGGCUAGCCGUCAGAUUUGGAAAGCAUUCGUUUCUGACGUCAAUAUGAUUGGGUGUAGUUGGAAGGAAUCUGGUCUGGGUCUUGGGACACCCAAGUUCCAGUUCUGGCUCUCUCAUUUAUUCACCAUUCAACAAACAACUAUUAAGCCUACUGUGUGCUAGGCACUGCCGCUAGCCCUGGUGACCCAAAGUUCAACGACACACUUGUUCCUACCUAAAGGAUCGUACUGUUCAGAGAAAGACAAUUUAAAAUAUAGUUAAGUAAGUGCUGUGGCAAGGAGCAAGGUACAUCUUCCAUCUUGAGGCGUGAAGAAAGAAGGAGUAGCUGUGAGGGAAAGGUUUGCCACAACUUGAAGUUGUAUUACUUCCUUGUUAACUCUUUUUUUAAAUACAGCUUUUGUAGAGACAGGGUCCCACUACAUUACCUAGGCUGUUAUUUAACUCCUGGCCUCAAGUGAUCCUUCCAGGCCUCCCAAAGCUCUAGGAUUACAGGCAUGACCAGCGGCCACUGGCAGCCACCUUCUUAACUCUGCUGUCCCACAAGCUCGUCAGUUCCUUGAGGAAAAGGAGGCUUUUUUUAUUACAUUUUUUUUUUAUAAAGAGCUUUAUUAAGACAUCACUCACAUAGCACACAAUUCACUCAUUUAAAGUAAAUGAGUUGGUCUCUUGCUGCAGCAACGCGAGUGGGAGCACCAGGAUCAUGGGCUCGGAACCCGACUACACGGAUUGUUUUAAGAAAAUGGCAGACAAACCACACAUGGGGGAAAUCGCCAGCUUCGAUAAGGCCAAGCUGAAGAAAACGGAGACGCAGGAGAACACCCUGCCAACCAAAGAGACCAUUGAGCAGGAGAAGCGGAGUGAAAUUUCCUAAAAUCCUGGAGGAUUUCCUACCCCCGUCAUCUUCGAGACCCCAGUCGUGAUGUGGAGGAAGAGCUACCUGCAAGAGGGACACGAGCCACAAGCUGCACUGUGAACCUGGGCACUCCACGCCGAUGCCACCAGCCUGUGGGUCUCUGAAGGGACCCCCCCAAUCGGACUGCCAAAUUCUCUGGUUUGCCCUGGAAUAUUAUAGAAAAUUAUUUGUAUGAAUAAUGAAAAUAAAACACACUUCGUGGCA